This is a non-coding RNA of Nylanderia fulva, 1775 nucleotides long. NCBI's taxonomy places the organism in Eukaryota, Metazoa, Arthropoda, Insecta, Hymenoptera, Formicidae. The record is from RefSeq and is a predicted model, not a curated record.
CUAAAUAACUAUAAUAGAGUCCAACACAUGUCCGAAAGAUAUAAAAUAUCCUUUGAAUGUUCUCUGGCUGUCCUUUAUUUAUUUAGCAAAAUAUUUACAUUCGUUAUCAAUUAAUAAACUUAUUUUCUGAGCAAAAGAAAGAAAUUAAUUUCGCUUUCUCUUUUAAUAACUUGAUUAAUUUCUGAAGUUUGCUGUUAGGAACUUUCGCCAAAUUUGUUUCAAAGUUGAUUCCGGUAUCAAUGAUUUUUCUAGAAUGAAAUAAGAAAAAUGAUAGAAUAUAUAGCGAAAAAGGAUAUAUGGGAACCUCUGUGCCGCACCAUACCGUCGUGCACAACGUGACACAAGCCAGGCCUGGCUGGUCGGUGGCCCCGACUAGCUUCCAGGGCCGUAAGCAAGAAUCUUGCCAUCUGUAUUAUUUAUCUUUCCGAUAUCUCGUUCGAUAAAAUUAUACAUUACAACGGAAAAGUAGAUGUAAGACUACGUAAAAAACGCAAUUAUACCAAUUUCGAUAUCGUCGUGUCAAGCAUUGCUGAUGGGAACCAAAAUCACAUUUAUAUCAUUCUUAUACAAGACAAUAGUCAUAAACGGACAAUAGACAAGCUAAUCUAGACUAGGUAAUUGUAAUUCAAUUAUAACUCAAGUUUGAAGUCCAGAUGUGCUAUUAGCUGGCAAACAAUUAGCUAAAUUUUAGCUGUCCCUAUAUAUUACAACUUUGAUAGCUAAUAUUUAUAGAAUUCUGCGUUAAAUUAUAGCUAAAAAAUAUUAGUUGUUAGCUAAAAUUUAGACAUAUGAUACCUAAAAGGUUGUAACAUAGAGACAACUAAGCUUGAGCUACGGUGGCUAAUGUUUUUUAUCGAUCGGGCCUUAAAAACAAUCCCUUCGCCCUCUGUUUAGGGCCAGUCUUGGCAGUGCAAUUGCGACACGAGACUGCCAUUAGUCGGCCGACUCGACCAAGAAAACCUAGAACGCGGGGGUAAGAAAACAGGCAACAGCUGUUCGGUCGUAGCGAGAAGUCCAGCUCUGAACUCACGGGGCACAUAUCCCCGGCUUGCGAUGUACGCUGAGAAAAAAGACAACUGCUAGGCGAAGUUCGAGGAAACUCUGGAGCAAAUUCGUCACGCCCAUAUCCCGGGUAAACUCUGGCGCCAGCCAGCAUUCGAGAGGCGAGGACGUACUUCCUAUUAAAAAUCGUACAGAUAAGCUAUCGAAAUUAUCGGAGCGCUCUUUCGGUACUGCCGGGCCUGUUUACAUCUCGGAGGAAGUGAGAUAUAGAUUUUGUGCCGAGUUUGCACAAGUCCCCGACUGUAUCGUGGAAGCGACGGCCGUCGCACGACGACGUUCUCUGCGGCAACUUAAUCCGAGGAUUGGAGUAAUUGAAUAUCCUCGACCCUCAAUGUCAUCCUUGAUGCUCCGAAUUUCACCGAGCUUGCACCUUGCUGGCCAAAUUUUACGCUUCAAAAAUAUAUUAUCUCAAAAACUUGCAAGAGCGUAAUAACGAAGCGAUGUCAAAAGUGACUUAUGUAUAAAGUCGUCUCUCAUACAAGAUCUCUUCUAAAAAUACAUUUAAAAAUAUAUUUUUUAAAUAAAUAAAUGUCUUUACUUGCGCGAUUCAUAUUUAUUUUAUAUAACGAAAUAAAUUCAGCUUGAAAGUUUAGGAUCUUUGAAUUCUGAAUUUCGCGAAGCUUGAACAAAGCUUGUACUAUCCAAAUUUUAAACUUAAAUCUGAAAAACUUGUAGAAACAAAUCACGAAAUAAUAUAAAUAUUAAUAUCAAAA